Molecule: long non-coding RNA, 488 nt
Filed under: Pan troglodytes (chimpanzee)
Lineage: Eukaryota; Metazoa; Chordata; Mammalia; Primates; Hominidae
Description: long non-coding RNA NONPTRT002415
Source: RNAcentral
AGUGAGAAGUGGGAACGGCACGAAGGUAACGCCGUUGAGGAUUAGUGGGAACGGAAUGCCGUUGAGGAGAAGUGGGAACAGAGGGAAGGUAACACCAGUGAGAAGUGGGAACGGCAGGAAGGUAACGCCGUUGAGAAGUGGGAACAGAGGGAAGGUAACACCAGUGAGAAGUGGGAACGGCGGGAAGGUAACGCCGUGAGAAGUGGGAACAGCAGGAAGGUAACACCAGUGAGAAGUGGGAACGGCGGGAAGGUAACACCAGUGAGAAGUGGGAACGGCGGGAAGGUAACGCCGUGAGAAGUGGGAACAGCAGGAAGGUAACACCAGUGAGAAGUGGGAACGGCGACGCCGGUGAGGGGAAGUGGGAACAGUUGGUGAAUUCGCCUAAGGCUCUAAUGGCAGUUCCUUGUCGUAUUCUUGUGACUUUUACAUAUGUUUGACGUUGUAUCAAAAUGGCUCCGGAGCAGAAUGGUCAUCAUGGACAGGCC